AAAGACCUUGUGCUUUUUGAGCGGCCGAUGCCUGAUUAGCUUGUUGGUGGGGUAAAGGCUUACCAAGGCAACGAUCAGUAGCUGGUCUGAGAGGACGACCAGCCACACUGGGACUGAGACACGGCCCAGACUCCUACGGGAGGCAGCAGUGGGGAAUUUUGGACAAUGGGCGCAAGCCUGAUCCAGCCAUGCCGCGUGAGUGAAGAAGGCCUUCGGGUUGUAAAGCUCUUUCGGUCGGGAAGAAAUAAUUGCGGCUAAUAUCUGCAAUAAAUGACGGUACCGACAUAAGAAGCACCGGCUAACUACGUGCCAGCAGCCGCGGUAAUACGUAGGGUGCAAGCGUUAAUCGGAAUUAUUGGGCGUAAAGGGUGCGCAGGCGGUUGUAUAAGUCAGAUGUGAAAUCCCUGGGCUUAACCUAGGAAUU
RNAcentral lists this ribosomal RNA (424 nucleotides) under uncultured Nitrosomonas sp. Its description in RNAcentral is "bacterial SSU rRNA". It matches the Rfam family "Bacterial small subunit ribosomal RNA", at positions 202 to 622 of the family's 1533-position model. The record is from RNAcentral. Lineage: Bacteria; Pseudomonadati; Pseudomonadota; Betaproteobacteria; Nitrosomonadales; Nitrosomonadaceae.